RNAcentral lists this ribosomal RNA (305 nucleotides) under uncultured bacterium. RNAcentral's name for it is "bacterial SSU rRNA". It matches the Rfam family "Bacterial small subunit ribosomal RNA", at positions 337 to 634 of the family's 1533-position model. The record is from RNAcentral.
CCCUACGGGGGGCAGCAGUAGGGAAUCUUCCACAAUGGGCGAAAGCCUGAUGAAGCAACGCCGCGUGGGUGAAGAAGGUCUUCGGAUCGUAAAACCCUGUUGUUAGAGAAGAAAGUGCGUGAGAGUAACUGUUCACGUUUCGACGGUAUCUAACCAGAAAGCCACGGCUAACUACGUGCCAGCAGCCGCGGUAAUACGUAGGUGGCAAGCGUUAUCCGGAUUUAUUGGGCGUAAAGGGAACGCAGGCGGUCUUUUAAGUCUGAUGUGAAAGCCUUCGGCUUAGCCGGAGUAGUGCAUUGGAAACU